GCAGGUGUAGUCUAGCCUGGUAAGGCGCUGGCCUUGAGUGCUUAAAAAGCCAAGUAAGCCAGUGCGCGUUAGCGUUCGGGGGUUCGAAUCCCUCCACCUGCGCCA
RNAcentral lists this transfer RNA (105 nucleotides) under Promethearchaeota archaeon. Its description in RNAcentral is "Candidatus Lokiarchaeota archaeon tRNA-Ser". It matches the Rfam family "tRNA". From Rfam's summary of the family: Transfer RNA (tRNA) molecules are approximately 80 nucleotides in length. Their secondary structure includes four short double-helical elements and three loops (D, anti-codon, and T loops). The record is from RNAcentral. Lineage: Archaea; Promethearchaeati; Promethearchaeota.